GCCUGCUAAGCGGCCGGGCUCUGCCGCCCGCCCGGCGAGCCCGCGCCACUUCCUGUGCGUCACUUCCGGCCCCCAGCAGUGUCCCCGCGCCCGGGCCGGGCCGGGCUCGGCCGCCGCCGCGGGCCUCCCAGAGCGCGGUGCGGCGUCCCCUGCGGCCUGGCGUCCCUGCCGGGCUCGGCGGCCUCUGCCCAGGCCUCGGUCCCCUCUGUGGCCCCGGUGACCACCGCCCGGCCUGGUCCCCUGCCCCGCCCGGUGUCCGCGGACCCCGGCGUCCCCUGUCCCGCCUGGCCCUCCGACCCGAGAGCACUCAGGCUCCGGUCCUUGAACACACCACGCUGCUGCAAAAGAAGAGAACAAAAAGCCAGACGCUGCUGUGGAGAUCUCCCCAGCCAUUUAACCCGGGGCCCCCUGGGAGCUACACCUGCCUGUUUCAGUUUUUGAGAUCUGCUGCUCCAGCAGCUGAGGUUAUAGCCAGAGUUCCCAACAAACCGGAGUUCAAUAAACUUUGUAAACAUUUUCUAAACAGAAUGAGAGUAUUAAACAGCAUUAAUGCUAAAAGGGAAUACUGAAAGGACAGAUAGAGCCAGGCAUGGUGGCAUAGGCCUGUAGUCCCGGCACUCCAGGAUGGUGAGGCUGGAGGGUCACAAGUUCCAGCCCAGCCCAGGAAAUUUAGCAAGCUAGCAAUACCCUGUCUCGGAAGUUUUUAAAAGGCUGGGGAUUUAGCUCAGUGGUGCUACCGCCUGCCUCGCAAGCGCAAGGUCCUGAGUUCAAUCCCCGGUACCAAAAAACAAAAAGCAGGCGGUACCUGUCUAUAACCGCAGCACCUGGAGGCUGAGCUGUGUGUUCAAAGCCAGCUGGAGCUACAUAGCCUGUACUGCAUAGUGGGACCUUGUCUCAAAACAAAAACAAAAAGCUGGGGAUAUACCCAGGGUGCAGGCUCUGCUUCAGCCCCGGGGUGGGUGUGGGGUGGAGAUUGUCACACCUAAGAUCUGAAUCAACGAAGACUUCACACCCAGGAGUCUGGAACCAUCUUUAGUUCUUCCAGAACAAAAUUCCUACCCUGGGUCCCAGGAGCCUGGAUUCAGGGAAACUAUUCCUUGGAUGGUCUGAACAGGACACCUUUGCCUGGGGUCCCUGGCUGCGUCCUCUCCCCAGGCGGGUCAGUCGCAGGCAGUGCUGGUGUCCCCCACAUCUCUGCCCAGGGUCAGAAGGGUCAGGGCAGCCGCUGUGCAUGGCUGGUGGGAGCCUGGUUUUUGUCUGUGCUGGACACUUGGCGUCGUCCUGGAGAGCCGCACAGUCAGACCUUCGCACUGGUCCCCAGGGUAGGCAGCCAGUUCUCCACCCCAACUCCAACUGUGACCUGCUUCCGCUUCUGCUUCCGUUUCCUGGGCCUCAGAAAGGUUGGCACUGUUUUUUGCUUUUUUACCCCCCAUUCUGGGGACUGAACCCAGGACCUUGCAAAUGUUAGGCAUUCUUUACCACUGAGCCACACCCCCACCCUGUUGUUUUUUAUUUUUCAUUCUGAGACAGUGUCUUGGUAAGUUACCCAGUGUGGCCUUGAACUUUCGAUCUUCCUGCCUCAGCCUCCCUGUGGUAGGGAUUACAGAUGUGUGUGCACCACUGUCCCUGGCUGCUGCCAGCUUGUUGCUGCCAGAUCACUUCUGACCGACUGGGUCUUGCAGGACAAGAACUGGUUCCUCUGGAAGGAGCAAGUGUCUUCUGGGCCUAGGAGAAACAGCCAGCAGGGCCCUGGGCAGGACCUGGUGAGGUGCUGGCCGGCCAGGUCCUGUGCUCCGCCUGCUCACCUAUCGCUUUCUCUGAGGGGAUGCAAGGCUGCCUUCUACUCCCUGGCCUCCCUGUGGGCAUGGCCCUGUGUCAGUAGCUCGGGGCUUGCUGGGUGCGAUUCAUUUUUGCCAGCCUGCAGUAUUCCGCCGUUUGCUUUAACCUGGGCCAUGCAGGAAAGGGUGGGAAAUCUCUGGGGUCUGAUCCUUCAUUUUGGCCCAAAGUCUUAAAGCCUCUACAAUGACCUCUGACCCCAUGAGACUCCCCCUUGAGGGUGGAUUCCAACCAGGGCCUCGCUUAUACUCAGAGUAAAGGACAGAGCUGGGGGUGGUGGUGCAUGCUUAUAAUCCCAGCUACAUGGGAGGCUGAGGCAGGAGGAUCACAAGUUCAAAGCCAGCCUGGGCAGUUUAGCAAGACCCUGUCUCAAACUUAAAAAGAAAAAAAUUUUUAAGGGCUGGUGAUGUAGCUCAGGAGCAAAGUGCCCCAGUACUGCCGGAAAAAGAAACCAAACCAGAGCACCACCCAGUUCCCUAGUGCUGCUGGAUGAAUGUUAUUGAUUGGAAUUUGCCUAUGGAUGUGAAGUCAGGAUCCAACUUCUUUUCUUUUGGAAGUUAUUUAUUACUGUUUUUGUUUUUGUAUUUUUUGAGACAGGGUCUGGCUAUGUAGUCCAGGCUGGCCUUUAACUCACUUUGGAACCCAAGGGUGGCCUUCAACUUGCAGCAGUCCUCCUAUCCCAGCCUCGGAGUGCUGGGACUACAGGAGCAUGCCACCACGCCCAGCUUGUUCCUGCUAUUUUGAGGCAGGAUCUUGUGCAUUGUGUUGACCAGGCUAGCCUUGAACUCCUAGUUGUGGGCAAUCCUUCUGUCUCAGCCUUCUGACUUCUGAGACUACAGAUUGUGUAGGACCUUUUCUUGCUGGCGUGGUCCAUCAUCCUGGUAUCAGACUGACUCUUCAGGCACUCUGGGAGGCUGAGGCAGAAGGACUGCAAGUUGUAACCCAGCCUGUGCAAUUUAGUGACUUAGCAAGAUCCUGUCUCAAAAUAAAACAUUUUUACAAAGGAAUGCGGGG
This 2850-nucleotide long non-coding RNA is filed under the name Heterocephalus glaber (naked mole-rat). RNAcentral describes it as "lncRNA (ENSHGLG00000039447.1)". The record is from RNAcentral. Lineage: Eukaryota; Metazoa; Chordata; Mammalia; Rodentia; Bathyergidae.